UGAGCAAGAUGGCAGGCUUAUCAUCACGCA
RNAcentral lists this non-coding RNA (30 nucleotides) under Homo sapiens (human). The record is from RNAcentral. Lineage: Eukaryota; Metazoa; Chordata; Mammalia; Primates; Hominidae.